This 440-nucleotide ribosomal RNA is filed under the name uncultured bacterium. RNAcentral describes it as "partial 16S ribosomal RNA". It matches the Rfam family "Bacterial small subunit ribosomal RNA", at positions 338 to 795 of the family's 1533-position model. The record is from RNAcentral.
CCUACGGGUGGCAGCAGUGGGGAAUAUUGGUCAAUGGGGGCAACCCUGAAGCAGCAACGCCGCGUGGAGGAUGAAGGUCUUCGGGUUGUAAACUUCUUUUGUUAGAGAAGAUAAUGACGGUAUCUGACGAAUAAUCACCGGCUAACUCCGUGCCAGCAGCCGCGGUAAUACGGAGGGUGCGAGCGUUACUCGGAUUCACUGGGUGUAAAGGGCGCGUAGGCGGGAUAGCAAGUCAGAUGUGAAAGCCUCUGGCUUAACCAUAGAACUGCAGUUGAAACUGUAAGUCUUGAGUGUGGGAGGGGUAGGUGGAAUUCAUGGUGUAGCGGUAAAAUGCGUAGAGAUCAGGAGGAAUACCGAUCGCGAAGGCGACCUGCUGGAACAUAACUGACGCUGAGGCGCGAAAGCGUGGGGAGCAAACAGGAUUAGAUACCCUUGUAGUC